AACGCGAAGAACCUUACCAGGUCUUGACAUCCUCUGACAAUCCUAGAGAUAGGACGUCCCCUUCGGGGGCAGAGUGACAGGUGGUGCAUGGUUGUCGUCAGCUCGUGUCGUGAGAUGUUGGGUUAAGUCCCGCAACGAGCGCAACCCUUGAUCUUAGUUGCCAUCAUUUAGUUGGGCACUCUAAGGUGACUGCCGGUGACAAACCGGAGGAAGGUGGGGAUGACGUCAAAUCAUCAUGCCCCUUAUGACCUGGGCUACACACGUGCUACAAUGGACGGUACAAAGAGCUGCAAGACCGCGAGGUGGAGCUAAUCUCAUAAAACCGUUCUCAGUUCGGAUUGUAGGCUGCAACUCGCCUACAUGAAGCUGGAAUCGCUAGUAAUCGCGGAUCAGCAUGCCGCGGUGAAUACGUUCCCGGGCCUUGUACACACCG
RNAcentral lists this ribosomal RNA (433 nucleotides) under uncultured bacterium. RNAcentral describes it as "bacterial SSU rRNA". It matches the Rfam family "Bacterial small subunit ribosomal RNA", at positions 958 to 1392 of the family's 1533-position model. The record is from RNAcentral.